Molecule: ribosomal RNA, 253 nt
Filed under: uncultured bacterium
Lineage: Bacteria
Description: partial 16S ribosomal RNA
Rfam family: Bacterial small subunit ribosomal RNA
Source: RNAcentral
UACGGGGGGGGCAAGCGUUAUUCGGAAUCACUGGGCUUACAGGGCGCGUAGGCGGCUCAACAAGUCAGGUGUGAAAUCCCCAGGCUCAACCUGGGAACUGCGUCCGAUACUGGAUGGCUUGAAUUCGGGAGAGGGAUGCAGAAUUCCAGGUGUAGCGGUGAAAUGCGUAGAUAUCGAGAGGAACACCUGCGGCGAAGGCGGGUUGCUGGGCUGACACUGACGCUGAGGCGCGAAAGCUAGGGGAGCGAACGGG